Molecule: ribosomal RNA, 321 nt
Filed under: Triticum aestivum (bread wheat)
Lineage: Eukaryota; Viridiplantae; Streptophyta; Magnoliopsida; Poales; Poaceae
Description: partial small subunit ribosomal RNA
Source: RNAcentral
AUGUUCCUGCAUGCAGAUACAGACUGUAGGUCUAAGAACACUAGGAUGCACUUCUGUCAAGUGGCAAUUAGCAAUCAACCUUUCCUGAAGAAUUGUGCUUCUAUUCCUAUCCAAUGCUUCUUUGAGAGAAGCAGCAUAGCCAGAACUUUACGGAUGUGGCAACAGAGUUCUCAGAAGAUAUAUUCCCGUCUUUUGUCGACUGCUAAACCAGCAGGAACAGAUGGUCCUCUUGGCAUCAUGACAUCAUCUGACAGUAAGGGACUUGUGAACAACAUGAAAAACUUUCAGCCAUCUUUUGAUUACACGGAAAUAUGCCUUUGA